CUUAUACUCCCUCCAUUCAGAAAUACUUAUCUUAAAAAUGAAUAAAAUGGAUGGAUCUAUAACUAAAAUAAGUCUACAUAUAUGCAUUUUUAGGACAAGUAUUUCGGGACGGAGGGAGUAUUUA
This is a non-coding RNA of Hordeum vulgare subsp. vulgare (domesticated barley), 124 nucleotides long. The record is from Rfam. Lineage: Eukaryota; Viridiplantae; Streptophyta; Magnoliopsida; Poales; Poaceae.